This 464-nucleotide ribosomal RNA is filed under the name uncultured bacterium. Its description in RNAcentral is "partial 16S ribosomal RNA". It matches the Rfam family "Bacterial small subunit ribosomal RNA", at positions 339 to 795 of the family's 1533-position model. The record is from RNAcentral.
CUACGGGUGGCAGCAGUAGGGAAUCUUCCACAAUGGGCGAAAGCCUGAUGGAGCAACGCCGCGUGAGUGAAGAAGGUUUUCGGAUCGUAAAACUCUGUUGUAAGGGAAGAACAAGUACAGUAGUAACUGGCUGUACCUUGACGGUACCUUAUUAGAAAGCCACGGCUAACUACGUGCCAGCAGCCGCGGUAAUACGUAGGUGGCAAGCGUUGUCCGGAAUUAUUGGGCGUAAAGCGCGCGCAGGCGGUCCUUUAAGUCUGAUGUGAAAGCCCACGGCUUAACCGUGGAGGGUCAUUGGAAACUGGGGGACUUGAGUGCAGAAGAGGAAAGUGGAAUUCCAAGUGUAGCGGUGAAAUGCGUAGAGAUUUGGAGGAACACCAGUGGCGAAGGCGACUUUCUGGUCUGUAACUGACGCUGAGGCGCGAAAGCGUGGGGAGCAAACAGGAUUAGAUACCCGAGUAGUC